Regulatory RNA element from Paraoerskovia marina, 116 nucleotides. It matches the Rfam family "SAM (S-adenosyl methionine) riboswitch aptamer". From Rfam's summary of the family: SAM-IV is a mRNA element that regulates gene expression via direct sensing of S-adenosylmethionine (SAM or AdoMet). The record is from Rfam. Lineage: Bacteria; Bacillati; Actinomycetota; Actinomycetes; Micrococcales; Cellulomonadaceae.
GGUCAUGAGUGCCAGCGCGAAACCCCGGUUUGCUGGCCGGCAACCCUCCUCCCACGGUGGGGUGCCCCGGGUGACGACCCGGCCGUUCACCAGGUGGUGCGCGGCAAGCGUGGGAC